UCGAGAAUUUUUCUCAAUGGGCGCAAGCCUGAAGGAGCGACGCCGCGUGGGGGAUGAAGGGCUUCGGUCCGUAAACCCCUGUCAUUUGCGAACAAACCUUUGGAUUGAACAGGUCCAGAGCUGAUUGUAGCGAAAGAGGAAGGGACGGCUAACUCUGUGCCAGCAGCCGCGGUAAUACAGAGGUCCCAAGCGUUGUUCGGAUUCACUGGGCGUAAAGGGUGCGUAGGUGGUCGGGUAAGUUUGGUGUGAAAUCUCCGAGCUCAACUCGGAAACGGCACUAAAAACUAUUCGGCUGGAGGGUCGGAAGGGGGGCUGGAAUUCUCGGUGUAGCAGUGAAAUGCGUAGAUAUCGAGAGGAACACCAGUGGCGAAAGCGAGUCCCUGGACGACUCCUGACACUGAGGCACGAAAGCUAGGGGAGCAAACAG
RNAcentral lists this ribosomal RNA (427 nucleotides) under uncultured bacterium. RNAcentral describes it as "bacterial SSU rRNA". It matches the Rfam family "Bacterial small subunit ribosomal RNA", at positions 355 to 775 of the family's 1533-position model. The record is from RNAcentral.